GCCGGGCAGUGGUGGCGCACGCCUUUAAUCCCAGCACUCAGGAGGCAGAGGCAGGCGGGUUUCUGAGUUCGAGGCCAGCCUGGUCUACAGAGUGAGUUCCAGGACAGCCAGGACUACACAGAGAAACCCUGUCUCAAAAUUAAAAACAAAACAAAAACCACACACACAAACCCUUAGAAGCUGUCAAAGACAGAUAAGAAAGGCAAGUAAGGGUCAUUUUUAUAAUGGUCAUUACCAAGGCUUCUAGAAUGCAGUUUCUCAUUUGCUGUGGACAUGACCAUAGACAAAUUCCCAUGAGGUUCUUCAUAUGCUGUUGGGAACAUGGUGAUGGCUGGAUGGGGUGGAUGGCUGGCUGACUGGGACAUUUGAGGAAGGUAUGUAUAUGGAAGGGGCUCCCAUAUACAUACAAUGAAGGUCAUUUCAAAGAGGGCUUUUUGGGCUAUAAAACCCACAGCUCUUAACGCUGUGACCAAAGAUUGAUGUUCUUCACAGAGAAAAUCCUGCACUGUUUUGAUAGUGCUGUGUUUUUCUGAGAAGAUAACAUACCCUGAAUCACUUAACAUACACUUAACACACCCUGAAUCACUUAACUCAUUAACACAUCUCUCAUUGUCUUCUCUUUCAG
Molecule: long non-coding RNA, 625 nt
Filed under: Mus musculus (house mouse)
Lineage: Eukaryota; Metazoa; Chordata; Mammalia; Rodentia; Muridae
Description: long non-coding RNA chr9:15316263-15316888
Rfam family: Small nucleolar RNA SNORA25 (bases 413-545)
Source: RNAcentral